Musa acuminata subsp. malaccensis (wild Malaysian banana) is the source of this 1084-nucleotide non-coding RNA. NCBI's taxonomy places the organism in Eukaryota, Viridiplantae, Streptophyta, Magnoliopsida, Zingiberales, Musaceae. The record is from RefSeq and is a predicted model, not a curated record.
AAAACGAGUUCGAAUACUUAUGAUCUAAUCACGAUAAUAAUCUACUAAAAUAAAAUUUACUAAGUGUUAAGUUGGACUUUCAUCAGAGUCGUCUUAAUCUAAUAAAUACUUAUCCUCCGCCGCCGUCCUGUCCACGCCGCCCCGGCCUUCCCCGCCGGAGCUCGAGUUCGUCAAGCGCAUCCAGCCCAAGCUGUCUGAGAUCCGUCGGGCCUGCUCGUCGCCGGACUUCAGCAGGAGGGUGCUCGAGAAGUGGAGUCCCAAGGCCACCAUCCGCAUCGAUCUGUCCGCCAUCCGAAACGCUAUCGUCUCAGAGGUGGACGAGGUCGGGGCGGUCCUCGAUGUCGGCAAGGUCAAGGGCCAGAGCUGGAGGAUGGUGCGGUGGAAGGGGGUGGAGGAGGAGGAGCAAGGGAGGGAGUGGGAGCCCAUUCGGAUCCUCAAGACAGGGCUGAAGGAGUUGGAAUAGAAGAGCCAGUCCACGAGCAACGAGCUCGUCGAAAAACUGAAAUCGAGCCUGGGAUCAUUUGUGAAGGAGCGCCAAGAGUCGAAGGAAGUUCCACCAUUGGAUCUACCUAAACUUUUGGCAUAUUUUGUUAAGCAAUCUGGGCCAUUUUUCAAUCAGCUUGGAAUACGGCAAGAUAUAUGUGACAAAAUUGUGGAAGCUUUAUGCAGUAGGCGCAAAGAUCAACUCAUGUAUCAUUCUCUUUCUGCAAAGGACACAUCCUUACCUGGAAAUGAGAACAGUGAUGAACUUGAUUUGAGAAUAGCCAGUGUGCUCGAAAGCAUGACCUUGGUGAACAAAAUGGUAAAGCUGCGAGUUAUCGGUGCCUUUAAAAUGUGCCCUAUUGAGAUCCCCACAUUUAGCUCCUAUGAGAGCUUAGUUAUUAGAGUAGAGAUAUGGACAUCUUGGACUAGUUAUUAGCAAAUGUUUUCUUUAACCUCCAAUACCAGUUUAGCUAUUUUUAGACUCAUCACCUAUCCAUAAAACCUCUCUUAAUAUUAUAGACUACAGGAACUCUCAACCGAGAUGGUGAAGGAUUUGCCUUUGUUGAACAAUUUAUGUUUUCUCUAGAGAUUCACUUUUCAA